UCCCCACCCGCCCCGUCGCUACUACCGAUUGAAUGGCUCAGUGAGGCUUCCGGACUGGCUCGGGGAGGUCGGCAACGACCACCCUGGGCCGGAAAGCUAUCCAAACUCGGUCAUUUAGAGGAAGUAAAAGUCGUAACAAGGUCUCCGUUGGUGAACCAGCGGAGGGAUCAUUACUGUGGCCUGCGCUCCGCGCUCGCUCAACCCUCCUGUGGAAAUUUUAAAACGUUUGCCUCGGCGGGCCAGGCCCGCCGCCGGCACCAAAACAACUCUUGCACACUGAAUUCUGAGUGGGCGUAGACCUAAUAAGUCAAAACUUUCAGCAACGGAUCUCUUGGCUCUGGCAUCGAUGAAGAACGCAGCGAAAUGCGAUAAUUAGUGGGAAUUGCAGAACUCAGUGAAUCAUCGAAUCUUUGAACGCACAUUGCGCCCGCCGGCAUCCCGGCGGGCAUGCCUGUCCGAGCGUCAUAUCAACCCCUCGGGCCACCUGUCCACCAUGCGUGGACGGGGUCGGCCCGGCGUUGGGGCACCGCGGGCUGGUUUCCUCCAGCCCGCAGGGCCCCCAAAUCCAGCGGCGGACGCCUCCUGGCCACCCAGCGCAGUAUAAUCGCUAUCGCUGAGGUGCACGGGGGGCUGCCCUGCCUACCGCCUAGCGGCACACACAACGUUUGACCUCGGAUCAGGUAGGACUACCCGCUGAACUUAAGCAUAUCAAUAAGCGGAGGAAAAGAAACCAACAGGGAUUGCCCCAGUAACGGCGAGUGAAGCGGCAACAGCUCAAAUUUGAAAUCCGGCCUUGCGGCCCGAGUUGUAAUUUGCAGAGGAUGCUUCUGGCGACGUGCCCUCCGAGUCCCCUGGAACGGGGCGCCGGAGAGGGUGAGAGCCCCGUACGGUGGGACACCUAGCCUAUGUGAAGCUCCUUCGACGAGUCGAGUAGUUUGGGGAUGCUGCUCUAAGCGGGAGGUAAAUUCCUUCUAAAGCUAAAUACCGGCCAGAGACCGAUAGCGCACAGUAGAGGAUCGAAAGAUGAAAGCACUUUGGAAGAGGGUAAACAGUACGUGAAAUGCUGAAAGG
Molecule: ribosomal RNA, 1071 nt
Filed under: Lulworthia atlantica
Lineage: Eukaryota; Fungi; Ascomycota; Sordariomycetes; Lulworthiales; Lulworthiaceae
Description: eukaryotic LSU rRNA
Rfam family: Eukaryotic large subunit ribosomal RNA (bases 667-1071)
Source: RNAcentral